AUAAAUGAUGAAUUUCUUUCGUCCGAAAAUUAUUAAAAAAUAUUUAAUUGAUGUAAAAAUUGCAUGAGAUUUUUUACUAUAUAAAGUGUUCAGACAAUUAUACAUUGGUUAUACGCAAAGGUGAAAAAAAUGGCUGAAAUUAUUAAGUUUGUUUAUAUUUUGAUACUUUGUGUUUCCUUAUUGCUUAUUGGUGAAGCUAGUGGAAAAGAAUGUGUUACUGACGCCGAUUGUGAAAACCUAUAUUAUGGUAAUAAAUGGCCUCUUAUUUGCAGCAACAUUGGUUAUUGUUUGAGUUCAUACGAAGAGCCUCCUCACAAGUAGUAUUGAGAUGUUUGUCUAGGAGAGUAAAGUGGAGAAUUAUUCUCUAAUCCAUGUUACAUUUUUCUUGAAUGUUUGUUUGAUUGUUGUUUAUCUUUAAAAUGGAUCGUAAGUUGUGAUAUUAUGAGAUCAGGGCUGAUGUUAAUAAUAUAGUAUUUACUUAUUUUAUUAUAAGAAAAAUGUAAGCCUAUAAGAAGCCAAAAUAUGUUAUUUCUAGUUAUGAAAUUGAGUUGUUUAUUUAUGGUGA
Molecule: long non-coding RNA, 565 nt
Organism: Medicago truncatula (barrel medic)
Lineage: Eukaryota; Viridiplantae; Streptophyta; Magnoliopsida; Fabales; Fabaceae
Exons: 3
Source: RefSeq, a predicted model, not a curated record